CAGGAAAAAGCGAUAUUAUUUACAUAUUAAGUGCUGCUAUUGAUAUUAAAGAUGAAUUUGAUGUUUUCUUGUUUUUUUUAAUGACUGGCACAGCUAGUUUUUCUGCUACGUGUUUCUUCAAAGAUUUAGUAUAAAAUGGGGCGUCAAUGCAAUUCAAACAUCAGUUCUAUUUGAAAAUUGGAGCAAUGAAAUUCUUUGCCUUCAUCGCGUUGUUCGUGUGCGCCAUCUUGGCUCUGGCCAGUGGAGAGCAGCAGCUGAGGAGACAAGUGCGCAGUCGAGUUCCUAUUGACGACUACCCAGCACCAGGCCACCACCACCACCACCACCACUACGGAUACGGCUACGGAUACCACUGAUAAUUUUAAGUUAAGAUUCCUGAUGAAUUAAAUUACAUGUGAACUGGAUUAAUGUUAAGCGAGGAUUAAAAUAAUAUUUAUAAUUUA
Long non-coding RNA from Spodoptera frugiperda (fall armyworm), 443 nucleotides. RefSeq lists it as uncharacterized. Lineage: Eukaryota; Metazoa; Arthropoda; Insecta; Lepidoptera; Noctuidae. The transcript is spliced from 2 exons. The record is from RefSeq and is a predicted model, not a curated record.